UACGAAGGGGGCUAGCGUUGCUCGGAAUCACUGGGCUUACAGGGUGCGUAGGCGGCCUGACAAGUAGGGUGUGAAAGCCCCCGGCUUAACCGGGGAAUGGCGCCCUAAACUGUCGGGCUGGAGUGAGAUAGGGGUGUGCGGAACUUCCGGUGGAGCGGUGAAAUGUGUUGAUAUCGGAAGGAACGCCGGUGGCGAAAGCGGCACACUGGAUCUCAACUGACGCUGAGGCACGAAAGCCAGGGGAGCGAACGGG
This 253-nucleotide ribosomal RNA is filed under the name uncultured bacterium. Its description in RNAcentral is "partial 16S ribosomal RNA". It matches the Rfam family "Bacterial small subunit ribosomal RNA", at positions 524 to 776 of the family's 1533-position model. The record is from RNAcentral.